Molecule: long non-coding RNA, 181 nt
Organism: Panicum virgatum (switchgrass)
Lineage: Eukaryota; Viridiplantae; Streptophyta; Magnoliopsida; Poales; Poaceae
Exons: 2
Source: RefSeq, a predicted model, not a curated record
CAUGGUAGCUGUUAGAGUAUAUUAGGGAUAUCUCUAUAUUAGGUAGAUUAGGAUUGUAUCCGUAUCCUACCAGAUCUGUAGGAGAGGCUUCUUGCCCUCCAAAUCAUGUACCCCUAUAUAUUCAGCCCCAAGGCUCAGUCUAAUACAAUCCAUCCAUUACACCAAUUCUAUCCCUUCUACA